RNAcentral lists this ribosomal RNA (484 nucleotides) under uncultured bacterium. RNAcentral describes it as "partial 16S ribosomal RNA". It matches the Rfam family "Bacterial small subunit ribosomal RNA", at positions 30 to 507 of the family's 1533-position model. The record is from RNAcentral.
AUUGAACGCUGGCGGCAGGCCUAACACAUGCAAGUCGAGCGGAUGAAGGGAGCUUGCUCCUGGAUUCAGCGGCGGACGGGUGAGUAAUGCCUAGGAAUCUGCCUGGUAGUGGGGGAUAACGUCCGGAAACGGGCGCUAAUACCGCAUACGUCCUGAGGGAGAAAGUGGGGGAUCUUCGGACCUCACGCUAUCAGAUGAGCCUAGGUCGGAUUAGCUAGUUGGGGGGGUAAAGGCCUACCAAGGCGACGAUCCGUAACUGGUCUGAGAGGAUGAUCAGUCACACUGGAACUGAGACACGGUCCAGACUCCUACGGGAGGAAGCAGUGGGGAAUAUUGGACGAUGGGCGAAAGCCUGAUCCAGCCAUGCCGGGUGUGUGAAGAAGGUCUUCGGAUUGUAAAGCACUUUAAGUUGGGAGGAAGGGCAGUAAGUUAAUACCUUGCUGUUUUGACGUUACCAACAGAAUAAGCACCGGCUAACUUCGUG